RNAcentral lists this ribosomal RNA (1462 nucleotides) under uncultured Klebsiella sp. RNAcentral describes it as "bacterial SSU rRNA". It matches the Rfam family "Bacterial small subunit ribosomal RNA". Lineage: Bacteria; Pseudomonadati; Pseudomonadota; Gammaproteobacteria; Enterobacterales; Enterobacteriaceae. The record is from RNAcentral.
AUUGAACGCUGGCGGCAGGCCUAACACAUGCAAGUCGAGCGGUAGCACAGAGAGCUUGCUCUCGGGUGACGAGCGGCGGACGGGUGAGUAAUGUCUGGGAAACUGCCUGAUGGAGGGGGAUAACUACUGGAAACGGUAGCUAAUACCGCAUAACGUCGCAAGACCAAAGUGGGGGACCUUCGGGCCUCAUGCCAUCAGAUGUGCCCAGAUGGGAUUAGCUGGUAGGUGGGGUAACGGCUCACCUAGGCGACGAUCCCUAGCUGGUCUGAGAGGAUGACCAGCCACACUGGAACUGAGACACGGUCCAGACUCCUACGGGAGGCAGCAGUGGGGAAUAUUGCACAAUGGGCGCAAGCCUGAUGCAGCCAUGCCGCGUGUGUGAAGAAGGCCUUCGGGUUGUAAAGCACUUUCAGCGGGGAGGAAGGCGGUGAGGUUAAUAACCUCAUCGAUUGACGUUACCCGCAGAAGAAGCACCGGCUAACUCCGUGCCAGCAGCCGCGGUAAUACGGAGGGUGCAAGCGUUAAUCGGAAUUACUGGGCGUAAAGCGCACGCAGGCGGUCUGUCAAGUCGGAUGUGAAAUCCCCGGGCUCAACCUGGGAACUGCAUUCGAAACUGGCAGGCUAGAGUCUUGUAGAGGGGGGUAGAAUUCCAGGUGUAGCGGUGAAAUGCGUAGAGAUCUGGAGGAAUACCGGUGGCGAAGGCGGCCCCCUGGACAAAGACUGACGCUCAGGUGCGAAAGCGUGGGGAGCAAACAGGAUUAGAUACCCUGGUAGUCCACGCUGCAAACGAUGUCGAUUUGGAGGUUGUGCCCUUGAGGCGUGGCUUCCGGAGCUAACGCGUUAAAUCGACCGCCUGGGGAGUACGGCCGCAAGGUUAAAACUCAAAUGAAUUGACGGGGGCCCGCACAAGCGGUGGAGCAUGUGGUUUAAUUCGAUGCAACGCGAAGAACCUUACCUGGUCUUGACAUCCACAGAACUUUCCAGAGAUGGAUUGGUGCCUUCGGGAACUGUGAGACAGGUGCUGCAUGGCUGUCGUCAGCUCGUGUUGUGAAAUGUUGGGUUAAGUCCCGCAACGAGCGCAACCCUUAUCCUUUGUUGCCAGCGGUUAGGCCGGGAACUCAAAGGAGACUGCCAGUGAUAAACUGGAGGAAGGUGGGGAUGACGUCAAGUCAUCAUGGCCCUUACGACCAGGGCUACACACGUGCUACAAUGGCAUAUACAAAGAGAAGCGACCUCGCGAGAGCAAGCGGACCUCAUAAAGUAUGUCGUAGUCCGGAUUGGAGUCUGCAACUCGACUCCAUGAAGUCGGAAUCGCUAGUAAUCGUAGAUCAGAAUGCUACGGUGAAUACGUUCACGGGCCUUGUACACACCGCCCGUCACACCAUGGGAGUGGGUUGCAAAAGAAGUAGGUAGCUUAACCUUCGGGAGGGCGCUUACCACUUUGUGAUUCAUGACUGGGGUG